This 84-nucleotide ribosomal RNA is filed under the name Ghiorsea sp. The record is from RNAcentral. Lineage: Bacteria; Pseudomonadati; Pseudomonadota; Candidatius Mariprofundia; Mariprofundales.
AUCCCAUCCCGAACUCAGAAGCGAAGUGCCUUAGCGCCGAUGGUACUGUAGCGUUCGCUACGGGAGAGUAGGUCGAUGCCAAGA